This 446-nucleotide ribosomal RNA is filed under the name uncultured bacterium. Its description in RNAcentral is "partial 16S ribosomal RNA". It matches the Rfam family "Bacterial small subunit ribosomal RNA", at positions 338 to 795 of the family's 1533-position model. The record is from RNAcentral.
CCUACGGGUGGCAGCAGUCGAGAAUCAUUCACAAUGGGGGAAACCCUGAUGGUGCGACGCCGCGUGGGGGAAUGAAGGUCUUCGGAUUGUAAACCCCUGUCAUGUGGGAGCAAAUUAAAAAGAUAGUACCACAAGAGGAAGAGACGGCUAACUCUGUGCCAGCAGCCGCGGUAAUACAGGGGUCUCAAGCGUUGUUCGGAAUCACUGGGCGUAAAGCGUGAGUAGGCUGUUUCGUAAGUCGUGUGUGAAAGGCGCGGGCUCAACCCGCGGAGGGCAGAUGAAACUGUGGGACUAGAGUAGGGGAGAGGGACGCGGAAUGCGCGGUGUAGCGGUGAAAGGCGGAGAUAUCGAGCGGAACACCGGUGGAGAAGGGGGGGUACCGGCUCCAAACUGACGCUGAGGCACGAAGGCGAGGGUAUCGAAAGGGAUUAGAUACCCGAGUAGUC